This 498-nucleotide ribosomal RNA is filed under the name uncultured bacterium. RNAcentral describes it as "partial 16S ribosomal RNA". It matches the Rfam family "Bacterial small subunit ribosomal RNA", at positions 28 to 507 of the family's 1533-position model. The record is from RNAcentral.
GACGAACGCUGGCGGCGUGCCUAAUACAUGCAAGUCGAGCGGACGGAUGGGAGCUUGCUCCCAGACCGUCAGCGGCGGACGGGUGAGUAACACGUGGGCAACCUGCCUGUAAGACUGGGAUAACUCCGGGAAACCGGGGCUAAUACCGGAUAACUCUUUCCCUCACCUGAGGGCAAGCUGAAAGAUGGCAUCUCGCUAUCACUUACAGCUGGGCCCGCGGCGCAUUAGCUAGUUGGUGAGGUAACGGCUCACCAAGGCGACGAUGCGUAGCCGACCUGAGAGGGUGAUCGGCCACACUGGGACUGAGACACGGCCCAGACUCCUACGGGAGGCAGCAGUAGGGAAUCUUCCGCAAUGGACGAAAGUCUGACGGAGCAACGCCGCGUGAGUGAUGAAGGCUUUCGGAUCGUAAAACUCUGUUGUCAGGGAAGAACAAGUACCGGAGCAACUGCCGGUAUCUUGACGGUACCUGACCAGAAAGCCACGGCUAACUACGUG